RNAcentral lists this ribosomal RNA (465 nucleotides) under Vreelandella stevensii. RNAcentral's name for it is "partial 16S ribosomal RNA". It matches the Rfam family "Bacterial small subunit ribosomal RNA", at positions 338 to 795 of the family's 1533-position model. Lineage: Bacteria; Pseudomonadati; Pseudomonadota; Gammaproteobacteria; Oceanospirillales; Halomonadaceae. The record is from RNAcentral.
CCUACGGGUGGCAGCAGUGGGGAAUAUUGGACAAUGGGCGAAAGCCUGAUCCAGCCAUGCCGCGUGUGUGAAGAAGGCCUUCGGGUUGUAAAGCACUUUCAGUGGGGAAGAAAGCCUUGGGGCUAAUACCCUCGAGGAAGGACAUCACCCACAGAAGAAGCACCGGCUAACUCCGUGCCAGCAGCCGCGGUAAUACGGAGGGUGCGAGCGUUAAUCGGAAUUACUGGGCGUAAAGCGCGCGUAGGCGGUCUGAUAAGCCGGUUGUGAAAGCCCCGGGCUCAACCUGGGAACGGCAUCCGGAACUGUCAGGCUAGAGUGCAGGAGAGGAAGGUAGAAUUCCCGGUGUAGCGGUGAAAUGCGUAGAGAUCGGGAGGAAUACCAGUGGCGAAGGCGGACUUCUGGACUGACACUGACGCUGAGGUGCGAAAGCGUGGGUAGCAAACAGGAUUAGAUACCCGUGUAGUC